UAGCUCAAUGGUUAAGUGCUUGGCUGCUAACCAAAAGGCUGGUGGUUUGAACCCACU
Molecule: transfer RNA, 57 nt
Filed under: Loxodonta africana (African savanna elephant)
Lineage: Eukaryota; Metazoa; Chordata; Mammalia; Proboscidea; Elephantidae
Rfam family: tRNA
About the family: Transfer RNA (tRNA) molecules are approximately 80 nucleotides in length. Their secondary structure includes four short double-helical elements and three loops (D, anti-codon, and T loops).
Source: Rfam by way of RNAcentral